UACGUAGGGUGCGAGCGUUAAUCGGAAUUACUGGGCGUAAAGCGUGCGCAGGCGGCUUUGCAAGACAGAGGUGAAAUCCCCGGGCUCAACCUGGGAACUGCCUUUGUGACUGUAAGGCUAGAGUACGGCAGAGGGGGAUGGAAUUCCGCGUGUAGCAGUGAAAUGCGUAGAUAUGCGGAGGAACACCGAUGGCGAAGGCAAUCCCCUGGGCCUGUACUGACGCUCAUGCACGAAAGCGUGGGGAGCAAACAGGAUUAGAUA
This 261-nucleotide ribosomal RNA is filed under the name uncultured prokaryote. Its description in RNAcentral is "partial 16S ribosomal RNA". It matches the Rfam family "Bacterial small subunit ribosomal RNA", at positions 524 to 784 of the family's 1533-position model. The record is from RNAcentral.